GUAUGCAUGGUCGCCUAAAUAGUACUUUUGCAGGCCAGUUUAGCUUGAGGUCGAGCGUACUUGGGGUUGAGGCAUAGCUGUCAUAGCUUCCGCAUUAUAAAAGUAUUGGUCGUUUAUCUUGUAUUCUACCUUCUUGUACGCCUGAGAAAUAGAUUGCUCUGAUAACUCUUGAGAUUAAUAUUCUUAAGUUUCAGAAUUGUUUUGUGAUAUGAGAGAUGUUGUGAUAUAGGG
Molecule: long non-coding RNA, 231 nt
Filed under: Rosa chinensis
Lineage: Eukaryota; Viridiplantae; Streptophyta; Magnoliopsida; Rosales; Rosaceae
Description: sRNA RchiOBHm_Chr2g0133191
Source: RNAcentral